This 268-nucleotide ribosomal RNA is filed under the name uncultured bacterium. RNAcentral's name for it is "partial small subunit ribosomal RNA". It matches the Rfam family "Bacterial small subunit ribosomal RNA", at positions 26 to 285 of the family's 1533-position model. The record is from RNAcentral.
AGGAUGAACGCUGGCGGCGUGCCUAAUGCAUGCAAGUCGAGCGACGCAUAUCGGAGGGGUAACCCACUGGUAUGACGGAGCGGCGAACGGGUGAGUAACACGUGGGUGACCUGCCCUCAGCUCUGGGAUAAGCCUGGGAAACCGGGUCUAAUACCGGAUGGGACUGCUUGCCGCAUGGUGGGUGGUGGAAAGUUUUUUCGGCUGGGGAUGGGCCCGCGGCCUAUCAGCUUGUUGGUGGGGUGAUGGCCUACCAAGGCGGUGACGGGUA